RNAcentral lists this ribosomal RNA (468 nucleotides) under uncultured bacterium. RNAcentral describes it as "partial 16S ribosomal RNA". It matches the Rfam family "Bacterial small subunit ribosomal RNA", at positions 28 to 507 of the family's 1533-position model. The record is from RNAcentral.
GACGAACGCUGGCGGCGUGCUUAACACAUGCAAGUCGAACGGAAAGGCCCUGCUUUUGUGGGGUGCUCGAGUGGCGAACGGGUGAGUAACACGUGAGUAACCUGCCCUUGACUUUGGGAUAACUUCAGGAAACUGGGGCUAAUACCGGAUAGGAGCUCCUGCUGCAUGGUGGGGGUUGGAAAGUUUCGGCGGUUGGGGAUGGACUCGCGGCUUAUCAGCUUGUUGGUGGGGUAGUGGCUUACCAAGGCUUUGACGGGUAGCCGGCCUGAGAGGGUGACCGGGCACCAUGGGACUGGGGUAACGGCCCGGAUCCUACCGGGGGGAAGAGGUGGGAAAUUUGGCAAAAGGGGCGGAGGCUGGUGGAACCACCGCCGGGGGGGGAAUACCGGCUUUCGGGUGGUAAACCGUUUUGGCUUGGGAGGAGGCGUGGUGGAGGUAAAUGGGUAAAAAGGCACGGCUAAAUUAGUG